GAUGAAGAACGUAGCGAAAUGCGAUAAGUAAUGUGAAUUGCAGAAUUCAGUGAAUCAUCGAAUUUUUGAACGCACAUUGCGCCCCCUGGUAUUCCGGGGGGCAUGCCUGUCCGAGCGUCAUUACAACCCUCAAGCUCAGCUUGGUGUUGGGCCCCGCCGCCCCGGCGGGCCCUAAAGUCAGUGGCGGUGCCGUCCGGCUCCGAGCGUAGUAAUUCUUCUCGCUCUGGAGGUCCGGUCGUGUGCUCGCCAGCAACCCCCAAUUUUUUUCAGGUUGACCUCGGAUCAGGUAGGGAUACCCGCUGAACUUAAGCAUAUCAAUAAGCGGAGGA
This 329-nucleotide unclassified non-coding RNA is filed under the name soil metagenome. RNAcentral's name for it is "partial contains 5.8S ribosomal RNA, internal transcribed spacer 2, and large subunit ribosomal RNA". The stretch from base 1 to 120 matches the Rfam family "5.8S ribosomal RNA", at positions 35 to 154 of the family's 154-position model. The record is from RNAcentral.